Molecule: long non-coding RNA, 452 nt
Filed under: Mytilus galloprovincialis (Mediterranean mussel)
Lineage: Eukaryota; Metazoa; Mollusca; Bivalvia; Mytilida; Mytilidae
Source: RNAcentral
CAGGGCCGUAACUAGGGUUCGAAUGCAGGGGAGGCAGGGUUUGGGGGCCCGGCGCCGAUUUUUUUCUCUCAGUAAAAUGUCUAAAAAUGACCCGUUUUUCUUCGAUUUCCUUACUUAAAGAAACAUCAGUAUUGCUUGAACCUGGAAGCAAUUUUUAUGCAAAAAACAAGCUGAGAUUGCUGUUCGGGUGCGCCAAGGCUCCGUCUUGAAUGCCGUACUUUGACCUAUAAUUAUUAACCGUGACUAAAUACAUUGAAAACGCGUAUUUUUUUCUCAACAUGGCUAUAAGUAACCCGUUUUCCUUCGUUUUCCUUACGUUAAGAAACAUCAGUAUUGCUGGAUCCUGGAAGCAAUUUUUAUGAAAACAUUUAUUAUCUGUAUUUAAAGAUUUUUUUGUUAGAAAUCAAACUGGUAAGUUAAAAAAAUAAAUAAAGCAAGAUCAGAGAUCGCAA